Molecule: ribosomal RNA, 775 nt
Filed under: uncultured Neocallimastigales
Lineage: Eukaryota; Fungi; Neocallimastigomycota; Neocallimastigomycetes; Neocallimastigales
Description: partial large subunit ribosomal RNA
Rfam family: Eukaryotic large subunit ribosomal RNA
Source: RNAcentral
CGCAUCUGUGCAUGCAGCAUAUCAAUAAGCGGAGGAAAAGAAACUAACAAGGAUUCCCUUAGUAACGGCGAGUGAAGCGGGAAGAGCUCAAAUUUGAAAUCUUCAAGGUUUUACCUUGACGAAUUGUAGUUUAAAGAAGUGUUUUCUGCUGAAGUUUUGGUAAAAGUUCUUUGGAAUAGGACAUCAUAGAGGGUGAGAAUCCCGUAUUUGACCAUUAUUUUCAGCUUUGUGAUACACUUUCAAAGAGUCGGAUUGUUUGGGAAUGCAGUCCAAAAUGGGUGGUAAAUUUCAUCUAAAGCUAAAUAUUGGCGAGAGACCGAUAGCGAACAAGUACCGUGAGGGAAAGAUGAAAAGAACUUUGAAAAGAGAGUUAAACAGUACGUGAAAUUGUCAAAAGGGAAGCGUUUGACACCAGUGUUGUUUUCUCGAAAAUCAAUUAAAAAUGGCUCGAUUUUGUAUUGCUUGAGACCUUAAAAGCUCACUGUACAUCUUUCGUGUCUUUUUUAAUGCACUUUUCGUUUAACAAGUCAACAUCAGUUUCUUUUGUUGUAAAAGGGUCAUUGGAAGGUGGCUUUCUUUUCGGAGAAAGUGUUUAUAGCCUUUGGCCUCUGCAAUCGAAGAGACUGAGGUCUGCAGCGUAGACUCUUCGGGGUUAGAUACAUUUGUGCUAAGUUAUAGCUUUUUAUAGACAACUUGUUGACUAUAAUUAGUCUUGUAGCUUACUCGCUUAUGCUAUUUUACCUACGCUUAGGAUGUUGACGCAUGAGAUAUACGC